GCAGCCGCGGUAAUUCCAGCUCCAAUAGCGUAUAUUAAAGUUGUUGCAGUUAAAAAGCUCGUAGUUGAAUUUCGGGAUCAAUACGUCGGUCGUGCUUUUGGUACGUACUAACGUCAUUGAUUUCUCCUUUCUGACGAACCAUGAUGUCAUUAAUUUGGUGUUAUGGGGAGUUAGGACUGUUACCUUGAAAAAAUUAGAGUGUUUAAAGCAGGCUUACGCUUGAAUACAUUAGCAUGGAAUAAUGAAAUAGGACGUUCGAUCCUAUUUUGUUGGUUUCUAGGAUCAACGUAAUGAUUAAUAGGGAUAGUUGGGGGCAUUAGUAUUCAAUUGUCAGAGGUGAAAUUCUUGGAUUUAUUGAAGACUGACUACUGCGAAAGCAUUUGCCAAGGAUGUUUUCAUUAAUCAAGAACGAAAGUUAGGGGAUCGAAGACGAUCAGAUACCGUCGUAGUCUUAACCAUAAACUAUGCCGACUAGGGAUCGGAUGAUGUUAAAUUUAUUAUGACUCAUUCGGCGCCUUACGGG
Molecule: ribosomal RNA, 523 nt
Filed under: uncultured Glomeromycotina
Lineage: Eukaryota; Fungi; Glomeromycota
Description: SSU rRNA
Rfam family: Eukaryotic small subunit ribosomal RNA
Source: RNAcentral